Molecule: ribosomal RNA, 404 nt
Filed under: uncultured bacterium
Lineage: Bacteria
Description: bacterial SSU rRNA
Rfam family: Bacterial small subunit ribosomal RNA
Source: RNAcentral
UAGGGAAUAUUGCGCAAUGGGCGAAAGCCUGACGCAGCGACACCGCGUGAAGGACGAAGCCCCUUGGGGUGUAAACUUCUGUCAGUAGGGAAGAUAAUGACGGUACCUACAAAGGAAGCAUCGGCUAACUACGUGCCAGCAGCCGCGGUAAGACGUAGGAUGCGAGCGUUGUCCGGAUUUAUUGGGCGUAAAGAGUUCGUAGGCGGCUAUUCAAGUCUGGUGUUAAAGGCUUAGGCUCAACCUGGGUAUGGCACUGGAAACUGAGUGGCUAGAGUGUGGUAGAGGUAGUGGGAAUUCCCGGUGUAGCGGUGAAAUGCAUAGAUAUCGGGAGGAACGCCAGUGACGAAAGUGCGCUACUGGGCCAUAACUGACGCUGAGGAACGAAAGCUAGGGGAGCGAAAGGG